CUGUGUUAAAUGCAGCUACUCAAUAGUUGUAUGCACCGAAUACUACAUGUCUAGAUUGUGGUAGGGAGUUUCGGAAUUAAGCAUGGAGCGGUGGAAUGUGUAGAUAUGCUUAAGAACACCAGAGGCGAAGGCGGAAACUUAGGCCAUAAAUGACGCUUAGGCUUGAAAGUGUGGGGAGCAAAUGGGAUUAGAUACCCCAGUAGUCCACACCGUAAACGAUGGGUAUUAGAUAUUAGGGCUUUAGCUUUAGUGUUGUAGCUUACGCGUUAAAUACCCCGCCUGGGUAGUACAUAUGCAAAUAUGAAACUCAAAGGAAUUGACGGGGACCUGAACAAGUGGUGGAGCAUGUUGCUUAAUUCGAUAAUACACGAAAAACCUUACCAAGGUUUGACAUCCCUCGCAAAGCUAUAGAAAUAUAGUGGAGGUUAUCGAGGUGACAGGUGGUGCAUGGCUGUCGUCAGCUCGUGUCUUGAGAUG
This 477-nucleotide ribosomal RNA is filed under the name uncultured Mycoplasma sp. Its description in RNAcentral is "bacterial SSU rRNA". It matches the Rfam family "Bacterial small subunit ribosomal RNA", at positions 590 to 1074 of the family's 1533-position model. The record is from RNAcentral. Lineage: Bacteria; Bacillati; Mycoplasmatota; Mollicutes; Mycoplasmatales; Mycoplasmataceae.